This 473-nucleotide ribosomal RNA is filed under the name Escherichia coli. RNAcentral's name for it is "bacterial SSU rRNA". It matches the Rfam family "Bacterial small subunit ribosomal RNA", at positions 1 to 470 of the family's 1533-position model. Lineage: Bacteria; Pseudomonadati; Pseudomonadota; Gammaproteobacteria; Enterobacterales; Enterobacteriaceae. The record is from RNAcentral.
AAAUUGAAGAGUUUGAUCAUGGCUCAGAUUGAACGCUGGCGGCAGGCCUAACACAUGCAAGUCGAACGGUAACAGGAAUCAGCUUGCUGAUUUGCUGACGAGUGGCGGACGGGUGAGUAAUGUCUGGGAAACUGCCUGAUGGAGGGGGAUAACUACUGGAAACGGUAGCUAAUACCGCAUAAUGUCGCAAGACCAAAGAGGGGGACCUUCGGGCCUCUUGCCAUCGGAUGUGCCCAGAUGGGAUUAGCUAGUAGGUGGGGUAACGGCUCACCUAGGCGACGAUCCCUAGCUGGUCUGAGAGGAUGACCAGCCACACUGGAACUGAGACACGGUCCAGACUCCUACGGGAGGCAGCAGUGGGGAAUAUUGCACAAUGGGCGCAAGCCUGAUGCAGCCAUGCCGCGUGUAUGAAGAAGGCCUUCGGGUUGUAAAGUACUUUCAGCGGGGAGGAAGGGAGUAAAGUUAAUACCUUU